This 254-nucleotide ribosomal RNA is filed under the name uncultured bacterium. RNAcentral describes it as "partial 16S ribosomal RNA". It matches the Rfam family "Bacterial small subunit ribosomal RNA", at positions 524 to 776 of the family's 1533-position model. The record is from RNAcentral.
UACGUAGGGUGCGAGCGUUGUCCGAAAUUAUUGGGCGUAAAGAGCUCGUAGGCGGUCUGUCGCGUCGGUCGUGAAAACUUGGGGCUUAACCCUGAGCUUGCGGUCGAUACGGGCAUGACUGGAGUUCGGCAGGGGAGACUGGAAUUCCUGGUGUAGCGGUGAAAUGCGCAGAUAUCAGGAGGAACACCGGUGGCGAAGGCGGGUCUCUGGGCCGAUACUGACGCUGAGGAGCGAAAGCGUGGGGAGCGAACAGG